GGAAAAUGGACGAAUUGCGGGCAAACUCACGGUAUCGAUAUGAAUACAGGGAGGCCUGUGUGAUGUCCUUUUCUGAAACUUGGGCUGUCGGAGGCGGUGCCCGACUCUGAAGUCACCCCUGACAGAUUCACUAUUACUCGGAUGGACAGAGACUAGUGAGGCUGCUGAGGAACACUGGCAAGGAGAGUGAUGGAAUGUGGGCAGAAAAGAGUAACUGUUGCCGUGGAGACCAAAGAAGGAUUUCCUCAGCCUACUGAACCCUCCUACUGGACUCCUCUCUCUCUCUCUCUUUCUCUCUCUCUCCCUCUCUUUUCCUCUCUUUCUCUACCUUCAUCUCUCUCAUUCUCUCUUUCAGUCUCUCGCUUUCGUUCUCUCCCUUCUCUCUCUCUGUCUGUCUGUUCUACUCCCUCCCUC
RNAcentral lists this long non-coding RNA (414 nucleotides) under Salmo salar (Atlantic salmon). RNAcentral describes it as "lncRNA (ENSSSAG00000095331.1)". The record is from RNAcentral. Lineage: Eukaryota; Metazoa; Chordata; Actinopteri; Salmoniformes; Salmonidae.